Molecule: transfer RNA, 63 nt
Filed under: Eisenia nordenskioldi nordenskioldi
Lineage: Eukaryota; Metazoa; Annelida; Clitellata; Crassiclitellata; Lumbricidae
Description: tRNA-Leu
Source: RNAcentral
AAUGAGUUGGCAGAAUAGUGCCACCGACUUAGGAUCGGUUUAUGGAAUUAUCCACUUAUUAUG